GUCUCCUGAAGGAACGUUGAAGACGACGACGUUGAUAGGCCGGGUGUGUAAGCGCAGAGAUGCGUUGAGCUAACCGGUACUAAUGAACCGUGAGGCUUAACCUUACAACGCCGAAG
RNAcentral lists this ribosomal RNA (116 nucleotides) under Salmonella enterica subsp. enterica serovar Cerro. RNAcentral describes it as "partial 23S ribosomal RNA". The stretch from base 1 to 104 matches the Rfam family "Bacterial large subunit ribosomal RNA", at positions 2822 to 2925 of the family's 2925-position model. The record is from RNAcentral. Lineage: Bacteria; Pseudomonadati; Pseudomonadota; Gammaproteobacteria; Enterobacterales; Enterobacteriaceae.